This 2470-nucleotide long non-coding RNA is filed under the name Homo sapiens (human). RNAcentral's name for it is "HSALNT0123411". Lineage: Eukaryota; Metazoa; Chordata; Mammalia; Primates; Hominidae. The record is from RNAcentral.
UUAUAAUCUAACAGUGAUAUUUCUACUAAUGAACGUUUGUGGAUCUGUUUGUACUCUUUUUCUGCUUUCCUUUCAAAUGGUGGAAUAUCAUUUCCUUGCAUACUUAGAUGCCUUUGAAUGACAAAUAUUUAUUUGUCUCUAAAAAUUAUUUUUGUGCACUUUUGCGGAUUAGUAAAUAGGAAAUUUGCCAAAGAGAAUUUCAAUUGUUUUGUGAUUCUACUAAAGACACCACCAUUCUGGGACCACAUUAUGUUAAUUCUUGGCCUAAAGGUGUUCGGACGUAUGUUUGGACUGCACAUUUAAACAAUUUUUAAAUUAGUUGCUGUAAAUCAUUAACGAUUGAGUUUCUUUAAAUCUGUCCAAUCUCAAGUCAUUUUUAUUUGCCAUUUCCAGGGAAUGUGAAAUGGGACUAAUUUACCUCUGAUUCUUCUUUAUACUGAGGAUAUAAAUUUUGGUCCUAGCUUUAGGGAGGAGCUCCUGUGUGAUGCCCUAUCUUGGGAAAAUCUAUGUAUUUCUUUACUCUCCUAUGUGAUGUAUGACAGUAGGAAUCUGCACUCAUUCAUUUUGCUACAUGUCCGUAGGGCAAAAUCAGUUUCGGUGUUUAGUUAUAUUUUGUCUGCUCCCUGCAUUCCCAUUGUUUUGCCAUUAUAUUUUACUUUUAUUUGUGAACAUACCAGUGCUUCAAAUUUUUUCCAGUAAUAUAUUCAACUAUAUUAUGAGAAAGAGAAAAAUUUUGAUAAAACACAAAUUUCAUGUUUUCCUUCUCUAAUUGGCUUCUACCUAAAAAUACAGGUAAAAUUUAUUUGUGCUUUUUUGCUAUUUCAGUUUUGCUAUUCUCUGUUUGUCUAUGUCUUCUCCACAUAGACACAAUUAGGGAAUUUUGUACACUCUUGUGCCAACUGCUUUGAUAGUAAUAAAAUGUAUUUCUCGAACUCCUAGGUAUAAAACUCAAGUAUCCACAAUUUAAAUUCUUUUUUGCUCACUUCUAUUAUGUUUCCAGUCUCAAUAGAAAUCGAUGCCAAUCCAGAAAUACAAGCAUUAUUCUAAUACUUCUCACACAUUACAGCAGGAGUGAGGACACAGUGAAAGUAAGACAAGGAAGAGAGAACAAAAUAAAACAGGAAAGAUAGAAAAGCCAAUACCACACGUGUUAAGAGUUUCAAGGAAAAUGUGUUGGGAGUUCCUGGCAUAGAGAAUGUCACAAAGAUAUGUUUUCAAUAGUGGUGCUAUCCCUAGGGCAGAGAAGAUCCAGAGAAAGCCCAAGUGGCUGCUGGAACAAAGUCAGACACCGUGCCACCUGUCCACACUCCUUGGCUCUGCCAUCAUGCUGAAGAUUGGUUUAAAGGUCUGGCUUCCCUCCCCGCAAAAUUAAAAGAGCACAAACUGAGAAACUGAAUGUGGGAGACAGCAGUGGGUUAUGCUGUUCUCAGGGGUCACCUCAGGUUUGGAAGCGUUCUUUCAAAUUAACCCAUCUCAGGCCAUCUGCAGAGAAGAAAGGUGGUACCUAACAUUUUUUCUUGUCAGCACUUGGUAGGGGUGUUUUAUUGACCAAAUAUGUUCCCACAACCUAGUUUUUUGUAACUAAAUAUAGUAGAUUUUUAAAUUUUAUCAUCAAAAUCUAUAGACAAUUUUUUAUUAAAAUAGGCUCCACAUCUAUGUCCUGCUUUUCUUCUUAUUAAUUACAUUGCUGUAUGAAAGAACAAGACUUCAGAAUCAAGAAUAUCUUGUCUCUUGGCAUUGAAUUUAUACAAGGUGCUCUUUCUUUAAUGCUGUCUCAAAGGGCAUAUUUUUACUCAUUAAAAAGGAAGAUCAGAAUCUAGUUGUAUGCACUGCUCCAACGUAUUAAUAAUUAAAAUUAGGAUGUAAAUGUGGUCAAAGCUAUAGAAAGAUUUGGGAUGUCGUUUAUAUUGAUUACUGUAUAGCACUCUACAAACAGAAAUUGUGAAAUAAUAGCUUAUAUAAAUAUUUUGUAGCAUUUCAAAUAUUAGAGUGCCUGAAGUUUCUCCUCUUAUAUAGUUCAGAUUAUCAAUUUGAAUAGUUACUCCACUGGUUAAAAAGUUUUUAGUCUCGUUUCAGUAUUAAUAUAAAAGCAAUUUUCAGUUAAAAGUGUUCCGCUUACAUAAAACAUUAGAAACUAGUGAGUAUUUAAUUACAUUUUCGUAUUCCUGUAAUGCCUUUAGAAGAUUUUCAUAUUAUUACCUAUCAAUAUAUGUAUGCUUUGUCUAAGAAAAAUCAAUCAUAUACAUCAUUGAAAUGGAAACUUUUUAAAAGUACUUAUUAAUUCUAUUGAAAAACCACAUCCAUAGGAGCAAUUACAAUAUAAUAUUGUGAACAUGUAAAUAUAUAUCCUAUGUCUAUUUUAUAUAGAAGCAUAUGUGAUUAAAAAUAUAGUUAAUAAUUUUUAAACCUAGUUUCAUAAAGUAAAAAUUAGUUAAACUUCUGAUGAUUAUUUGUUAAUUAAGAUAAAAUU